This is an RNA transcript of Glycine soja, 1281 nucleotides long. It is a transcript of the gene named ubiquitin-conjugating enzyme E2 7, with no coding region annotated. The record is from RefSeq and is a predicted model, not a curated record. The transcript has 7 exons. Lineage: Eukaryota; Viridiplantae; Streptophyta; Magnoliopsida; Fabales; Fabaceae.
UGGACCUGGAUGCACCAAACAAGCAGGCAAAGCCACAAAACACAGACUCAGAAUCAUUUUCUCUUCCUCUUUUCUUUUGUUUAUCUAUCAUAUCAUAUCAUAAUUCAUAUCUACGUUUGUUACAAAAUCCUUUCACAUACCAUACCAUACUAUAAAUACAAUUCAACUCUCUGUCCGCUUUUCCACUUUUCUCUUUUCUCUCUGCUCUCCUUUCUAUUUCUCAAUCGAACAACACAACACAAUCCUUAAACUCUCUCUCUCUCUCUCUCUCUCUCUCUCUUCAAUUUCGUUGAUGGCGUCACAAGCAAGCCUCCUCCUUCAGAAGCAGCUCAAAGAUCUUUGCAAGAACCCCGUCGAUGGCUUUUCCGCCGGUUUGGUCGACGAAACCAACAUUUUUGAAUGGAGUGUGACUAUAAUUGGACCUCCCGAUACUCUUUAUGAGGGGGGAUUUUUCAAUGCCAUUAUGAGCUUUCCACCCAACUACCCAAAUAGUCCACCAUCAGUGAAAUUUACCUCAGAGUUAUGGCAUCCCAAUGUGUAUCCUGAUGGGCGAGUUUGCAUAUCAAUUCUUCAUCCUCCUGGUGACGACCCAAAUGGUUAUGAGCUUGCAAGUGAGCGCUGGACGCCUGUUCAUACAGUAGAGAGUAUAGUAUUAAGUAUCAUAUCGAUGCUUUCUAGUCCUAAUGAUGAAUCUCCUGCAAAUGUUGAAGCUGCGAAGGAGUGGAGAGAUAGGAGAGAUGAAUUCAAGAAGAAGGUUAGCCGAUGUGUGCGGAAGUCACAAGAAAUGUUGUGAUUUACAGCUUGGAUUCUCAUCUUCCUUUUGUGAACAGAAGGAUAUACAACUUAAUGUGUGGAUUGGUUCACCUGUUACUGUUGAACCGAGUAUAGUGCCAUUUGUCUUGGAAAAACCAACUGUAUUCUAAGUGCUUGGCACUUCUUUACCUGUAUAUGGCUGUUUUCCCUAGCGCUUCAGUACUUUGUUUACUUGGAUGGUAGGGGAGACCAUAGAGGUUGCUCUUUUGGCGUGGAGGCAUCAUCACAUCACUUAUUAUCUAUUAUUUUUUUCUCAAUUUUUUUCCUUUCACCUCGCUACAUUCUUGGAAUUAUAGUUUUAAAAAUCUAACCAGUGAUUGAGCUGAUUUGGACAUUGGAUCACUUAGUCAAUGAUUAUUGAACUUUGAAAUUAUUAAUAUACAAUAUGAUUAUAGGGCAAACAAUAGUGUAUAUAUUACUCCUAUAUAAUGUAAAAAAUUACUCUUUAGAGUGUAAACUUGAGUAAAA